Molecule: ribosomal RNA, 433 nt
Filed under: uncultured bacterium
Lineage: Bacteria
Description: partial 16S ribosomal RNA
Rfam family: Bacterial small subunit ribosomal RNA
Source: RNAcentral
AACGAACGCUGGCGGCAUGCCUAACACAUGCAAGUCGAACGAAGGCUUCGGCCUUAGUGGCGCACGGGUGCGUAACGCGUGGGAAUCUGCCCUUUGGUUCGGAAUAACAGCUGGAAACGGCUGCUAAUACCGGAUGAUGACGAAAGUCCAAAGAUUUAUCGCCAGAGGAUGAGCCCGCGUUGGAUUAGGUAGUUGGUGGUGUAAAGGCCUACCAAGCCGACGAUCCAUAGCUGGUCUGAGAGGAUGAUCAGCCACACUGGGACUGAGACACGGCCCAGACUCCUACGGGGGGCAGCAGUGGGGAAUAUUGGACAAUGGGCGCAAGCCUGAUCCAGCAAUGCCGCGUGAGUGAUGAAGGCCCUAGGGUUGUAAAGCUCUUUUACCCGGGAAGAUAAUGACUGUACCGGGAGAAUAAGCCCCGGCUAACUCCGUG